This 305-nucleotide long non-coding RNA is filed under the name Physcomitrium patens. RNAcentral describes it as "long non-coding RNA (PPAT_LNC010623)". The record is from RNAcentral. Lineage: Eukaryota; Viridiplantae; Streptophyta; Bryopsida; Funariales; Funariaceae.
UAUUAUUACUGGGAUUCAUUAUUACUGGGACUGCUACAUUAGAAAAAUAGAAUGGUGAUUACAUAUGCUCACUCACUCACUCACUCACUCUCUCACACACACACACACACAUAAAUAAUAACAAUAAUAAAAUAAAAUAACAACAGUAGAUAUACACACUGGGUCCAAACCAAGACAUGAAAAAGGACUUUUUGUAGUGGUGGCGAAGGACAUUGAUUAAUGAAGCGGGCAAAUGUUCGGACACAGUCUGUGAGAAUGGGAUGCCACGUAGGACUCAGUCUGGAGCUGCUGACUCAGUCACCAUC